This is a long non-coding RNA of Canis lupus familiaris (dog), 5003 nucleotides long. RefSeq lists it as uncharacterized. NCBI's taxonomy places the organism in Eukaryota, Metazoa, Chordata, Mammalia, Carnivora, Canidae. The transcript has 2 exons. The record is from RefSeq and is a predicted model, not a curated record.
GACAGAGCACUCGCUGUGUCCUAGGCAAUGUGGGUGUUCGCUUGCUGAACCAUCACAACCCGGGGGAGAUGGGAAGCAGGUUUAGAGACCUACCCAGGUCUCCCAGCUGUGAGGAGGCAAACUGGACCGGGAUGAGAAAUUAGGCUCCUAAUCGCCCCUCCAUCUGGCCCCCUGAGUAUGGGAACCAGCGGAGCAGCCGGAAGAGCAGAUGGCCUGGGGACAGCCCAGGUGCCUGAGCCCCUCCCCCUCGCCUGCUCGGUACUCAGCUGACUUCCUGUCCCUGGAAGAGCAGCUGCGGGUCUGCUGGGGCAGGGCGGCCCCUUCCUGUGGUUCAGGUAGAGCGCAACCUCAUGCUUUCUUAGCAUCCUCCCUCUCUCCCUUCCCUAGAAGUCAGACCUGGGUACCCCAGAUUGCCGCCCAGAGCCUGGGGUCUGCCCAGAGUCCCCAGCGGCAGGUGAGGGUGGAGUGGGCAGAGAGAAGGAGCUGCAGGCCCCGGUUGAGGAGGGCUCCAGGGGACCUGAGAACUCGGCCUUCAGCUCUCAAAGAUCACUUGGAGGCCUUCCCCAUCCCGUCUCCUCUCUGACAAUGGUGAAGAGGCAGAUGAAGGCCCUUUAGCAUCACAUCCCUGGCUCUCCGCGGCCUGAUUGUUUGGAUUCAAUGGGAACAUCUGAGGGAUGGAGGCUGCUGUGUGCCCGUGUCCACCUCACUUCCAGACACCCAGGGCUUUGCAAAGAGCUGGCUGUUGGGCAUCCCCUGGACUUUUCCCUAGGUAACAUUGCCAAGGAACUGUGGCACUGGCCAGAUUUCCCAUGCCUGGCCCGGUGGCUCUACCUCUCUCUCUCUCUCUCUCUCCCAUGGAAGCUCGGCAUAAGCUUUCUGGAGGAUGCUCUUCCUUGUGCGAGGGGUCAUCUGAGGUUGCUUACACUGAGCUCCUCACCAGAGAAAUGCAGGAGGCAUCCCUGCAGCUAAAUGAGGCAACGUCUGUGGAGGACCAAGCCAUGCCAGGCAGGCUACAGCCGUAUGCUCCCUCCCAGAGAGACAUCGCCCUUGGCCAUGCAGCCCUUGGCUAGGCCAACAGCUGGGCUUCAUCCCUGGGUGCCUUUUCAGCCCAUCCUUUGCUCAAGGUGUCCUUAACAGAGCAUAAAGGGACAUUCCACUUGUCUCUCUGCCCAAGAGCAAAGAAGGACACAUUUCUCUGGCUCUUCCUCAAAGAUGCAAAGAAAGAAAAAAAGAUGUUCUUUAUCUGAGAUCCUACAGACCCAACCAGCAGUCCUGGGUUGAAUAGUGUCCCCAGAAUUCAUGUCCACGUGGCACGUGUGCAUCUGACCUAAUUUGGAAAUAGGGUCUUUGCAGAUAUAAUUAGUUAAGAUGAGGUCAUAGUGGAUUAGUUUGGGCCCUAAUCCAAUAACUGGUGUCCUUAUAAGAAGAGGAGAUUUGGACACAGACACAGAGAAAAAGGCUGUGUGAAGACAGAAGCAGAGAUGCGAGUGACGCAUCUAUCCACCAAGGAUUGCCAAGGACUGCUGGCAGCCACCAAGCUGAGAAGAGCAAGGAAGGAACCCCCCGCCCCCCAAGGCUUCAGAGGGAUUGCAGCCCCACCGACACCUCGACUUUGGACUCCUGGCCUCCAGAGCUGUGAGAAGGCCAGGGGGAGACCAAGGCCAACACCAGUCUCAUACAGUCCUUGUCUGUGUCCAGCAAGGAGGGGCCCUGGUUCAGUUGUCUGAAUCCUGCCUUCCAGGCUGAGAACACCUUUUGAUCCUGGGCCAGGCCAGCGUUUUCCUCCCCGAGGAGAGCUCAGACCCCUGCCAUCACCUCCACCCCGAGUCCUGGUUGGUCGCUGCCUAGUUAGCUGUACUGGUGGAGGGACCUAGACUGGGGUGACUCACCGUCACACAUCAGCCUAUGGAAGGAUAGUGCACAGUGCACGGCCCGGGGGAUGGUACUGUGUGCUGCAUUCACAGACAGAGCCAGAAUGUGCUGAGCAGCAUGUGCGUGAGCAACGUGUCCACCCUGCACGCGUCCGGGAAGUCCUCCCGUCAUCUGUGACCACUUCCUCGCCUGUCUCUUGGGGGUCUGCAGCCUCUACUGGGUAUCUGACCCUUUUCAUCGGCUCCUCUCCAGAUGUCUCUCUUACCAGCCACAGAGCCCAGCCCCGUGACCCCAGGGCCUGUAGACUCUGCCUGAGUUGAGGCCCCUCCCCUCCUGUGCUCAAGACUGACCGGCUCAGUGCUCAGCCUGGUGUGGGCACAAGGUCUCUUGCUGCAGCUGGGCCCCUUGGCUGACCUUCGCAGCUCCUUCUCUUCGACUGGAGAGGCCUGGCAGUGUGCCUGCGGGGCGGGCCCCGCUACUCUCCUGGGCUCCUCCCCUCCACUCCAGGGCUCUGGCCGUAGCCUGGUCAGGGUCCUUGCUGACUUGUCAGCCAAACCCUGGAGUGAUGGCCCGAGGAGGCCAGUGGGGAAGCCCCAGUGUGUAGGACAGUAGUCCACAGCCAGGGACUGCCUCCCCCCCAUCACUGGGCAAUGCUGGUUGGCCAGUUGGUCUCUGAAUAUCUUCUAGAUGGCCUCCCUGCCAGAUCCCCUUGCCUACUUUCACCAGGAGCCAACCUUCAAGGGAUACUGAAAAAGGCAGUGGAUCGCUGGAGGACUACUCCUGGAAGCCAGCCUGCCUCCCUCUCAGAGCAGGCUCCUCCCCACCCAGCCUCCUCUUCAUAGGAUCCUGUAACAGAAAAGUUACAUAGAGGUCAUCUCAUUUGUCCCCCAGCUUCCAGAAAGAGAGUUUAGGGUGGUAUUGGGGUUCUCCGAGGCUUCAAGCAAAAUCUCUUACCUUGGGUUGGCCAGAGGUCUAACUGGAAUUUCCUUAGGAAUUCUAUGUCCUUUGGGAGGACAGCUCUGAACAUCUGAGUCUCCCUCCUGCAGAGAGGUGGGAUGAAGCUGGCAUUCCCUACAACCGCCCAAGCUCUCCACAGGUGGAAUGACGGCCCUGGGACUGUCUCACAGGGCUGAGCUGGCCUCUGGUGAAUGACCGGUGUGGACCCAACUGCCUGAGGAGCCUUUCUAGCCCCCGCUAGGUAGUGGGGACUCUCAUAUGCAGACGUUAGCAGUAGUGGGGAAGGUACGAGACUUUCGUCAGGUGAUGAGUGUUCUAAGUCGGCUUCCACUGCUGAUUAUCUGCGUGCUUUGGGGCAGGUGUAAAUCCCCUCUACACCUUAAUUUGUUCACUGGAAAAUGCAGUCUAUUGCAUUUUACCCACCUCACUUGCAUCGUAGGCAUAUAGGGAGCAUGGGAUGGCACCGCGUAACAGGAUGCAUCUUGAGAAAAACAGAAACGCUAUUUAUACAAACAUAAGGUACUAAAAAUUAAAGAUGUCUGCUGGUGUCCCAAACUAAAAAGUUGUGGAUGACUUAAUAUUUUAACGACCUCUGAAACCCAAUUAUUUAAAGGCAAUUCUGCUUUUGUACAGCUACGGGUCUAGUCCUGGUGAUGGCCGCGGGGUGCCACCAUAAUCUGCUGGGUUUUGUAAAGAACAUAAAAGAGCAGAAGAUACAGUGCCUGGUACAGAGUAGGCAUUUGAUAAAUAAUCACAGAAAGAAGGAAUAAGAGUGAGUUUCUUCCUUCAAAGAGUUCACAGUUCAGUUUGGAAGAAAUCAAGAAACCGUAACACCAUGUGACCAAGUGAUAAACUCAGAGGAUGCCUUCUGAGGGAAGAGAGGUCUCCAGGACUGCAGGAGUCCAGGAGAGCUUCAGGGAGGAGGCGGGAAAGGAGGCCGCCUGGAAGAGAGGGGCAGGGCAGGUGGGUGGGCAAUUGGGCUGGAUAAUCCCAACAGGACGCCACACAGGCUCACAGGUGCGCAAGGGGGUGAAGUGCAGGGCAGAUGGGGAAAGCAUCCUCAUGGAAGGAAGCAGAUCUACCAGCGUGGGGUGCAGGGGGUGGGUGCUGACCAGGCUAGGUUUCCACUCAGGGGAGAGCCUGAGGAGUUAGAACCCAGCUGAGAAGAAAAUGCUAAAGGAACUGAUGUGGAUCCUGCAGGGUGGGCCUUGUGUGUGACGUAACGAAAGCAGUAUUUUUAGAAGAUGAGUCUGGUAUGGAUAUGCCCGAUGGGGACAUACCACACUUCUUGAAGUUCCCAAAAGUUUUUUUCCCUUUUCCGGGCCAUUUCCCUCUUUCAGAUCAGUAGAAUGCCCCUGUGUCCCACACAUCCCACAAGCCGCCUGCCAGCGGAGGGAACACCUGCUGUUUUGCCUGAGCUCACGAGUGUCACCUCUUCUGGGAAACCACUGUAGGUCAUUUCCUCCUGGGGGCCCCCCAGCUGUAUGCCGUAUAACAUUUUAUUUUUAUACUCAUUCCUUUUUAGGAUACUUCUUGGUUUUCAUGUCUGGUUCCCGUUUCGGACUGUAAGCCUCUUGAAGUCUGAAUGCCUCCUGGUUGACAGUGAUCUCCAGCAUUGGUCACAGUGCCCAGAACGGGGUUCCCACCUGCAUUGGGAUCGCCCUGGAACGUUGUUAAGGCAGGGGUCAGAUGCUGCUAACGUACCCUAAAACGCACAGACACUGCAGCCCCCAUCACACAACCAUCCACAAAGAUCAUAUUGCGAACAGCGCCCCCUGCAGUUGUGCAGCACAGCGGCCUCCUGAAAGACCAGGUUUUAUUUUUAUUAUUAUUUUUAAAGAUUUUAUUUGUUUAUUCAUGAAAGAGAGAGAGAGAGAGAGAGAGAGAGAGAGAGGCAGAGACAGGCAGAAGGAUAAGCAGGCUCCAUGCAGGGAGCCCGAUGUGGGACUCGAUCCCGGGACUCCAGGAUCACGCCCUGGGCCAAAGGCAGACGCUAAACCGCUGAGCCACCCAGACAUCCCUGGACCACAUUUUAUAUUUCGCCUCUUUACCUUCAACACCUUGUGCGUUAUAGAUACUACAUAAUGUUUUCUGUAUGUAAAGGAAGACUGGAGAUUUGAGGGGAAGGAAAUGAAAGGCAAUACAUUUUCUUGUAUAAUGUACAUAAUGAACAA